UACGGGGGGGGCAAGCGUUGUUCGGAAUUACUGGGCGUAAAGGGCUCGUAGGUGGCCAACUAAGUCAGACGUGAAAUCCCCAGGCUCAACUUGGGAACUGCGUCUGAUACUGGAUGGCUUGAAUUCGGGAGAGGGAUGCAGAAUUCCAGGUGUAGCGGUGAAAUGCGUAGAUAUCGGGAGGAACACCAGUGGCGAAGGCGGCGAUCUGGGCUGAUACUGACGCUGAGGUGCGAAAGCGUGGGGAGCAAACAGG
This 253-nucleotide ribosomal RNA is filed under the name uncultured bacterium. RNAcentral's name for it is "partial 16S ribosomal RNA". It matches the Rfam family "Bacterial small subunit ribosomal RNA", at positions 524 to 776 of the family's 1533-position model. The record is from RNAcentral.